AUUGAACGCUGGCGGCAUGCCUUACACAUGCAAGUCGAACGGUAACGGGUCCUUCGGGAUGCCGACGAGUGGCGAACGGGUGAGUAAUAUAUCGGAACGUGCCCAGUAGUGGGGGAUAACUGCUCGAAAGAGCAGCUAAUACCGCAUACGACCUGAGGGUGAAAGGGGGGGAUCGCAAGACCUCUCGCUAUUGGAGCGGCCGAUAUCAGAUUAGCUAGUUGGUGGGGUAAAGGCCUACCAAGGCAACGAUCUGUAGUUGGUCUGAGAGGACGACCAGCCACACUGGGACUGAGACACGGCCCAGACUCCUACGGGAGGCAGCAGUGGGGAAUUUUGGACAAUGGGCGCAAGCCUGAUCCAGCAAUGCCGCGUGCAGGAAGAAGGCCUUCGGGUUGUAAACUGCUUUUGUCAGGGAAGAAAUCUUCUGGGCUAAUACCCCGGGAGGAUGACGGUACCUGAAGAAUAAGCACCGGCUAACUACGUGCCAGCAGCCGCGGUAAUACGUAGGGUGCGAGCGUUAAUCGGAAUUACUGGGCGUAAAGCGUGCGCAGGCGGCUUUGCAAGACAGAUGUGAAAUCCCCGGGCUCAACCUGGGAACUGCAUUUGUGACUACAAGGCUAGAGUACGGCAGAGGGGGAUGGAAUUCCGCGUGUAGCAGUGAAAUGCGUAGAUAUGCGGAGGAACACCAAUGGCGAAGGCAAUCCCCUGGGCCUGUACUGACGCUCAUGCACGAAAGCGUGGGGAGCAAACAGGAUUAGAUACCCUGGUAGUCCACGCCCUAAACGAUGUCAACUGGUUGUUGGACGGCUUGCUGUUCAGUAACGAAGCUAACGCGUGAAGUUGACCGCCUGGGGAGUACGGCCGCAAGGUUGAAACUCGAAGGAAUUGACGGGGACCCGCACAAGCGGUGGAUGAUGUGGUUUAAUUCGAUGCAACGCGAAAAACCUUACCUACCCUUGACAUGUCAAGAAUUCUGCAGAGAUGUGGAAGUGCUCGAAAGAGAACUUGAACACAGGUGCUGCAUGGCCGUCGUCAGCUCGUGUCGUGAGAUGUUGGGUUAAGUCCCGCAACGAGCGCAACCCUUGUCAUUAGUUGCUACGCAAGAGCACUCUAAUGAGACUGCCGGUGACAAACCGGAGGAAGGUGGGGAUGACGUCAGGUCCUCAUGGCCCUUAUGGGUAGGGCUACACACGUCAUACAAUGGCCGGUACAGAGGGCUGCCAACCCGCGAGGGGGAGCCAAUCCCAGAAAACCGGUCGUAGUCCGGAUCGUAGUCUGCAACUCGACUGCGUGAAGUCGGAAUCGCUAGUAAUCGCGGAUCAGCUUGCCGCGGUGAAUAAGGUCCCGGGUCU
This 1352-nucleotide ribosomal RNA is filed under the name uncultured bacterium. Its description in RNAcentral is "bacterial SSU rRNA". It matches the Rfam family "Bacterial small subunit ribosomal RNA", at positions 28 to 1381 of the family's 1533-position model. The record is from RNAcentral.